This 253-nucleotide ribosomal RNA is filed under the name uncultured bacterium. Its description in RNAcentral is "partial 16S ribosomal RNA". It matches the Rfam family "Bacterial small subunit ribosomal RNA", at positions 524 to 776 of the family's 1533-position model. The record is from RNAcentral.
UACGGAGGGAGCUAGCGUUGUUCGGAAUUACUGGGCGUAAAGCGCACGUAGGCGGCUUUGUAAGUUAGAGGUGAAAGCCUGGAGCUCAACUCCAGAACUGCCUUUAAGACUGCAUCGCUUGAAUCCAGGAGAGGUGAGUGGAAUUCCGAGUGUAGAGGUGAAAUUCGUAGAUAUUCGGAAGAACACCAGUGGCGAAGGCGGCUCACUGGACUGGUAUUGACGCUGAGGUGCGAAGGCGUGGGGAGCAAACAGG